GACUAAAAAGCCAAAAAAUUUUGCGCACCAAAAUCAAAUGUGCACGAAAGAAAAACAGAGUAACAGUUGUGAGUGUGAAGUGAAGUAGUGAUCAAAAUCGCAAUUGUAGGGUUUUGUUUUCCGAAAGAGGAAGAACGAAGAAGAUAAUUGAAUCAAUUCAUGGGAAUUGGAGCGAAAUUCUGGGACGCGCUAAAACCCUACGCUAAACACGAGGGUUUCGAUUUUCUCAGGAACAAAAAAGUAGCCGUUGAUCUUUCUUUAUGGAUUGUACAACAUAAUACUGCUCUCAAUUCGUCCAACGUCCGAAAUCCUCAUAUUCGCCUCACUUUCUUCCGCACCAUCAAUCUUUUUUCUAAGUUUGGAGCGUAUCCUGUAUUUGUUGUGGAUGGAAAGCCUUCGCCGUUGAAAUCUCAAGCAAGGAUUGCUCGCUAUUUUCGAUCAUCUGGCAUUGAUUCGAAAGACUUGCCUGUUGCGGAGGAGGGCGUUUGCGUUGAGAGGAAUGAUUAUUUUGUUAAAUGUGUGGAGGAGUGUGUGGAACUUCUCAAGCUUCUUGGGAUGCCCGUUCUAAGAGCUAAAGGUGAAGCUGAAGCACUUUGUGCUCAAUUGAACAAUGAAGGAUUUGUAGAUGCUUGCAUUACAGCUGAUAGUGAUGCAUUCCUUUUUGGGGCUAAGUGUGUGAUAAAACAAGUGGAUCCUAAAUCCACGGAACCAUUUGAAUGCUAUUAUGCUGGAGACAUUGAAGUUGGUCUGGGACUGAGAAGGAAGCACUUAAUAGCUGUUUCUCUUUUAGUUGGGAAUGAUCAUAAUUUAAAUGGAGUGCAAGGAAUAGGGCUGGAAACAGCUCUUCGUUUUGUCAAAAAAUUUCAUGAAGAUGAAGUUUUACAAAGGUUAAAUGAAAUAGGUUCUCAGCCUGUACUUCCAUCUGAUGCAAAUUUAAGUUCUCCAGUCAACUGUACAAGUAAUAUGGAUAAGUUAUCGCAGAAAUUCAAAUCCCCUCAUUGUUCUUUAUGUGGUCAUCCGGGCAACAAAACUGCUCAUAGCAGAGUUCCUUGUGGGUAUUGUCAUAGCACUGCAGGAGUUAAUUGUAGUAAAAAGCCUCCUGGGUUCAGAUGUGAAUGCUCUGGUUGUGUUAGGGACCUGAAAGAAAGGGAACUCAAGAAGAAUGAACAUUGGCACCUUAGAGUGUGCAAGAAGAUAUCCAUGGAGUGCCAUUUUCCUUGCAAUGAGAUCACUGAAAUAUAUAUGAGAAAUGAAGAUAGUGAUGACUUCAGUGCUAGUCUAUUGUGGGAUGGACCAGAUAUCGAUAUGUUAAUUGAUUUUUUGGCUUUUCAUCUUCAUUGGGACCCAUCUUACAUACGACAGCAGAUAUUCCAGAUGCUCUCCACCAUUUCUUUGAGAGAAAUGGCUUUGAAUCCAAGUGAAACUCUUCUGCUUGGACAGUAUAAAUUUGACUCUGUUCAACGUGUAAAAGUUAGGUGUGGUCAUCAGUUUUAUGUGGUCAGGUGGAAAAAAUCUGCACCAGCAAUGAACAAUGUCAAUCAUUCAGUGUCUUCUGAAGGUUAUUUUGUGGAUUCAGCUUCUCAGUCUGAAGAGAUUCAAAUGGAUGGAUCUUGCGGUUUGGACGAGCUUAAUGGACCGCAGCUUCAUGUUGAUGGUGGAUGCAGCUUCAUAUUGACAGAUGAAAAUUUGGAGCUUGUCCAAGCAGCUAGUCCAGCAGAAGUUGACAGGUUUCUGCAGCAGAAGGAAGUGAAAGAAUCUAAAAGAAAAUCCAGAUCUGGAGAAACUUGCGUGGAGUCACAUUCUCCUAAUUUAGGCAGUGGUCAACUAGCAAUUACUGACUAUUAUCGUUCAAGCAAACCACUAACUCAGGCUAAAGACAACCAUGAUCUGGCUCAGAGUGAAGAAGCUGAAUGUUUGAGAGAAAAGAGUAAGGUGACAACAGCAAGCCUCCCAAAAUCAGUGAGACGUCGGCUUUUGUUUAGCUAAAUUCUUUCUAAGAAUUAUGCGGACUUCAUGAACUUGUGCCAACUCUUGCCUGACAUGUGAAAACAUGCGGACUUCAUGAAUCUGUACAUUUUAUCUUUAACAAGUCCUCAGCAUGGCGAAAUAUUUCUGAUGUCAUGCCAAGGUGAUCCGAAUGGCUGGUUUGGCUCAUUAGAGAGAUCAAGAUGGAGGAAAGGAGAGAGUGGUUAAUGCAUUUUGAAUUUGUUGUAUCAUUUGAUAAGUGGUCAAAUUGUGGCUGACUUCUCUUGCUCUUUAUUAUCUGUUCGACUGUCACAUAACUUUAUCAUCUGUUCGACUGUCACAUAACAUGUCAAUACACUAUUGUUUGACAGUAUAAAUCAGUAUUGCAUUAUGUUAGUUUUAAUUUCCUUUUUAAAAACUAGCACUCUUUUGUUUGGGUGUGUAAUUUUGAAAGACAUUUACUUUAGGAUCAAUUACUGUGGAAAGAAAUUAGUUGUAAAGUAAUUACUAAUUAUUACGUUAAAGUUCGCAUUUUCCAA
Beta vulgaris subsp. vulgaris (sugar beet) is the source of this 2504-nucleotide RNA transcript. It is a transcript of the gene named flap endonuclease GEN-like 1, with no coding region annotated. The record is from RefSeq and is a predicted model, not a curated record. The transcript has 9 exons. NCBI's taxonomy places the organism in Eukaryota, Viridiplantae, Streptophyta, Magnoliopsida, Caryophyllales, Amaranthaceae.